AAACCAACAGGGAUUGCCCUAGUAACGGCGAGUGAAGCGGCAACAGCUCAAAUUUGAAAUCUGGCCCUCGGGUCCGAGUUGUAAUUUGUAGAGGAUGCUUUUGGUGAGGUACCUUCCGAGUUCCCUGGAACGGGACGCCAUAGAGGAUGAGAGCCCCGUCUGGUCGGAUACCAAUCCUCUGUAAAGCUCCUUCGACGAGUCGAGUAGUUUGGGAAUGCUGCUCUAAAUGGGAGGUAUAUGUCUUCUAAAGCUAAAUAUUGGCCAGAGACCGAUAGCGCACAAGUAGAGUGAUCGAAAGAUGAAAAGCACUUUGAAAAGAGGGUUAAACAGUACGUGAAAUUGUUGAAAGGGAAGCGCUUGUGACCAGACUUGGGCCCGGUUAAUCAUCCAGCGUUCUCGCUGGUGCACUUGGCCGGCCCAGGCCAGCAUCAGUUCGGUGUGGGGGAUAAAGGCGGCGGGAAUGUGGCUCCUCCGGGAGUGUUAUAGCCCACCGUGUAAUACCCUGUGCUGUACUGAGGUUCGCGCAUUCGCAAGGAUGCUGGCGUAAUGGUCAUUAGCGACCCGUCUUGAAACACGGACCAAGGAGUCGUCUUCGUAUGCGAGUGUUCGGGUGUUAAACCCCUACGCGUAAUGAAAGUGAACGCAGGUGAGAGCUUCGGCGCAUCAUCGACCGAUCCUGAUGUUCUCGGAUGGAUUUGAGUAAGAGCAUACGGGGCCGGACCCGAAAGAAGGUGAACUAUGCCUGUAUAGGGUGAAGCCAGAGGAAACUCUGGUGGAGGCUCGCAGCGGUUCUGACGUGCAAAUCGAUCGUCAAAUAUGGGCAUGGGGGCGAAAGACUAAUC
Molecule: ribosomal RNA, 842 nt
Filed under: Roselliniella euparmeliicola
Lineage: Eukaryota; Fungi; Ascomycota; Sordariomycetes; Sordariales
Description: eukaryotic LSU rRNA
Rfam family: Eukaryotic large subunit ribosomal RNA
Source: RNAcentral